CAGGUUUACCUGUGUGACUGCGUACCUUUUGUAUAAUGGGUCAGCGACUUAUAUUCUGUAGCAAGGUUAACCGAAUAGGGGAGCCGGAGGGAAACCGAGUCUUAAUUGGGCGUUAAGUUGCAGGGUAUAGACCCGAAACCCGGUGAUCUAGCCAUGGGCAGGUUGAAGGUUGGGUAACACUAACUGGAGGACCGAACCGACUAAUGUUGAAAAAUUAGCGGAUGACCUGUGGCUGGGGGUGAAAGGCCAAUCAAACCGGGAGAUAGCUGGUUCUCCCCGAAAGCUAUUUAGGUAGCGCCUCGUGAAUUCAUCUCCGGGGGUAGAGCACUGUUUCGGCUAGGGGGCCAUCCCGGCUUACCAACCCGAUGCAAACUGCGAAUACCGGAGAAUGUUAUCACGGGAGACACACGGCGGGUGCUAACGUCCGUCGUGAAGAGGGAAACAACCCAGACCGCCAGCUAAGGUCCCAAAGUCAUGGUUAAGUGGGAAACGAUGUGGGAAGGCCCAGACAGCCAGGAUGUUGGCUUAGAAGCAGCCAUCAUUUAAAGAAAGCGUAAUAGCUCACUGGUCGAGUCGGCCUGCGCGGAAGAUGUAACGGGGCUAAACCAUGCACCGAAGCUGCGGCAGCGACGUUUAUGCGUUGUUGGGUAGGGGAGCGUUCUGUAAGCCUGCGAAGGUGGCCUGUGAGGGUUGCUGGAGGUAUCAGAAGUGCGAAUGCUGACAUAAGUAACGAUAAAGCGGGUGAAAAGCCCGCUCGCCGGAAGACCAAGGGUUCCUGUCCAACGUUAAUCGGGGCAGGGUGAGUCGACCCCUAAGGCGAGGCCGAAAGGCGUAGUCGAUGGGAAACGGGUUAAUAUUCCCGUACUUGGUGUUACUGCGAAGGGGGGACGGAGAAGGCUAUGUUGGCCGGGCGACGGUUGUCCCGGUUUAAGCGUGUAGGUGUGUGUUCCAGGUAAAUCCGGUUCACUUUAACACUGAGGCGUGAUGACGAGGCACUACGGUGCUGAAGCAACAAAUGCCCUGCUUCCAGGAAAAGCCUCUAAGCAUCAGGUAACAUCAAAUCGUACCCCAAACCGACACAGGUGGUCAGGUAGAGAAUACCAAGGCGCUUGAGAGAACUCGGGUGAAGGAACUAGGCAAAAUGGUGCCGUAACUUCGGGAGAAGGCACGCUGACACGUAGGUGAAGUGAUUUACUCAUGGAGCUGAAGUCAGUCGAAGAUACCAGCUGGCUGCAACUGUUUAUUAAAAACACAGCACUGUGCAAACACGAAAGUGGACGUAUACGGUGUGACGCCUGCCCGGUGCCGGAAGGUUAAUUGAUGGGGUCAGCGCAAGCGAAGCUCCUGAUCGAAGCCCCGGUAAACGGCGGCCGUAACUAUAACGGUCCUAAGGUAGCGAAAUUCCUUGUCGGGUAAGUUCCGACCUGCACGAAUGGCGUAAUGAUGGCCAGGCUGUCUCCACCCGAGACUCAGUGAAAUUGAACUCGCUGUGAAGAUGCAGUGUACCCGCGGCAAGACGGAAAGACCCCGUGAACCUUUACUAUAGCUUGACACUGAACAUUGAGCCUUGAUGUGUAG
Molecule: ribosomal RNA, 1578 nt
Filed under: Salmonella enterica subsp. enterica serovar Paratyphi B var. L(+) tartrate +
Lineage: Bacteria; Pseudomonadati; Pseudomonadota; Gammaproteobacteria; Enterobacterales; Enterobacteriaceae
Description: partial 23S ribosomal RNA
Rfam family: Bacterial large subunit ribosomal RNA
Source: RNAcentral